UGAGCUGCGUCUUCAUGGCGCUUUCCUCCCUUGACUUGAGCCCGUCGCGAAUGGCGGGCUUCUUUCGAUGCGCU
Molecule: small RNA, 74 nt
Filed under: Bradyrhizobium erythrophlei
Lineage: Bacteria; Pseudomonadati; Pseudomonadota; Alphaproteobacteria; Hyphomicrobiales; Nitrobacteraceae
Description: suhB
Source: RNAcentral